UUUAUUGAUAAAACUCCUGCUGGAAAUCUGCUGUUGUCAGCAGGAAUUCUUUUUGCGAGUACAUCACCAACAAAAGUGCUGAGGGUACUGAAGUCCAUCAACUGCUACACCAUCACAACAAGGACAUUUCUGAAUCAUCCGAUGAAAUUCCUUCAACCUGCAAUCAAGACAGUCUGGACCAAGAAUCGGAACAACAUUGUGCAGAAACUGAAGGAGACGAACAAAAACAAAGAACUGGUGUUAGGAGGGGAUGGACGCUGUGCCAAGUAUGGAUCCUAUACCAUACAAGACCUCACAAUAAACAAGGUGUUGGAUGUUCAAUUAGUGCAGAGUAAUGAAGUCCCUUCAAGUGUCCACAUGGAAAAAGAGGGGCUUGUGCGAUGUGUCCAGUUCUUGGAGAGUGAAAACCUCGUCAUGAAGACAAUUGUGACAGACACACACAGAUCAACAAAUGGCUGAAGGAAAACCAAGAACAUGUGGACCAUCGGUUCGACGUUUGGCACCUUGCAAAAAACCUAAAAAACUGGUAAAGCUUGCAAAGGACAAGCAAUGUACCGAUAUUGGGGAAUGGAUACAAUCCAUUCUGAACCAUCUGUAUUGGUGUGCCGUAUCAACUCCGGAUGGAAAUGGAGAAAUUAUUGCUGAAAAAUGGCUGUCCCUCAACAACCACAUUAUAAACAUUCACACCAAACAUGGCAGAGUGUUCGAGAAAUGUGCCCAUGGUCGGCU
Long non-coding RNA from Gymnodraco acuticeps, 729 nucleotides. RefSeq lists it as uncharacterized. The record is from RefSeq and is a predicted model, not a curated record. Lineage: Eukaryota; Metazoa; Chordata; Actinopteri; Perciformes; Bathydraconidae. The transcript has 3 exons.